UUAACUCUAUUUUUAUUUCAAAUAUAACUAGUAUGCUUUCUUAAAAAUCGUCAAUUACAUAAGAUUAUAAAAAUCGGCAAUUUCAAAAAUUCAUACAGUUGCCUACGUAUGUAUGUGCGCAAUGAGCACGAUCCUACCUGAAUCAGAUCAAUUAGUACGCUUACUUACGUCAUGCUUUACUUUACGAUUUCAUUGUAUCUCAUCCACUUGGUACGGAUAGUAAUAGUACGUAUAAUUUGAGCUUUUUGUUUCAGCUGAAAAUCGAAUUCGAGGCCUGAUUCUUUUCGAAUUACAUGCAGCCCACGCAGACCUUAGUAGGAGACAUACAGAAAUGGAGAUUUUAGUGCCAUUAUUGCAGGAGUCAAAGAAGUAUUUAGUUGAUGGCUAUCAAUUACUGAAGUACGAACCAAAAGUUCUACCGGAAGGAAAAAUAGCUCAACAUGCAGAACAAAAUUUACACGAAAUAAAUAAGCUCUUAAAACGAUUCAAUGUAACAUAAACUUUAUCAGUACGUAGUUUGCUAAGUAAGUUCUACGUUUGGGAGUAAAUAUUAAACGAAAAACAAAACUGUAUAUAUACAUAGCCUUCGUAAGCAACAAACAUAUCGAAAUAAAAUUGUUAAAAAAAUUUUAAUAAGUAUAAUUACAAGCGGUAGUUAUCAUGUAUUAGCAUUCUUUGAUUGAGGAGUUCAUUUUUAGCACAUGUUAGAAAAAUUAACACAUGAAUCAAUGAUAUAAUUUAUAUUAACGUUCUCUUAAUUUGGUAAGUAAUUUUAGAAACUUCUAACGAAUCAACAAUCUUAGUUCUUCUGAAAGGGAUACGACGAUAGAAUAAAUUCUCCACAUGCUUUAUAUAUAUUUUGCCGGCAGCGAAAAAUACUGAAAAAAUACCGAAUGUACAACAGAGAGGGAUAUAGUAGGGGUACAAUACAGUACAGGGCGGAAACGAUAGAAAAAGAUUAAAAGUUUAUGUAUCAGGGAAUAUUACCGUUGCAACGACAAACCUUCUUUCUUUUCGGUUCCUUGUGAAAAAAGAUUUUGCUACUGACGAACCUUUUUUGAAUAAAGUGAGAUCGAACAUGA
Long non-coding RNA from Bombus terrestris (buff-tailed bumblebee), 1082 nucleotides. RefSeq lists it as uncharacterized. NCBI's taxonomy places the organism in Eukaryota, Metazoa, Arthropoda, Insecta, Hymenoptera, Apidae. The record is from RefSeq and is a predicted model, not a curated record. The transcript is spliced from 2 exons.